AUAGCACACUCGGCGCACCCCUGGAGUGACUGGACAAACAAAUUAAGCAGCAAAAAUGGAGGCCACCACCCUGCGGAAGCGGCCGCUCUCGAUCAAGACGGCCGCCGGACGCGAAGGGCGGACGGCGGCGGAAGCAGAGCUGGGGGAGCCGGUCAGCCCCUCCGCGAGGCUCGUGGAGGACUUCUACAUCAUCGUCCUCAUGGGCGCCUCCACGCCCCUCAACCUCCCCGCCCUCCGCGCCGGCAUCGAGGCCCAGCUCGCACGCUACCCGCACUUCCGCAGCAUCCAGGUAACGGACAAGGACGGCGAGCUGCGGUGGGCGCCGACGACGGUGAACGUGGAAAACCACCUGAUCCGCCCGACGCUGGACCCGGCCGCCGUGCCGGCCAACCCGGACAAGGCCGUGGAGGACUACGUGGCGUCCCUGUCGACGCUGCCCAUGGACCGGUCCCAGCCGCUGUGGGAGUUCCACCUCUUCGACUUCCCGACCUCCGAGGCGACCUCCACCGCCGCGAUCCGCGUGCACCACUCCCUCGGGGACGGCAUGUCUCUGCUCACGCUCCUCAUGGCCUGCACGCGCAGCGCCGCCGACCCGACCAGGCUGCCGGCCAUGCCGCCGCUGCCAUCGCGUACGGGCGCCAUCUACCAGCGACCGCGCCCUUCGGCGGGCGUCCUGGCGUACCUCCUUUGGGUCUGGUCCUUCGUCGUGCUCGCCUGGCACACCGUGGUGGACGUCGUCGGCUUCUUCGCGACCAUACUGUUCUUGAAGGAUCCGCACACGCUGUUCAAGCGGGUGAACCACGCGGAGACGCAGCGCAAGCGCAUCGUGCACCAGAGGCUUAGCCUCAACGACGUCAAGUUCGUCAAGAACGCCAUGAAAUGCACAGUUAACGAUGUGUUGAUUGGAGUCACAUACGCUGCCCUGUCGCGCUAUCACUUCCGAAAGUCAGGUGGUGAAACCGACACUCGCAAAGAGAUACGCGUGCGCUCAAUGCUUCUCGUCAACUUAAGGCCGACCACAAGCCUACACGCAUGUGUUGAUAUGAUAAAGUCGGGCAAAGAAAGCCACGUGAAAUGGGGAAAUGAACUUGGGUUCAUCAUCCUUCCGUUCUUCAUCGGCAUGCACAGCGACCCGCUCGACUACGUUCGCAAGGGGAAGAAGGUUGUGGACAGGAAGAAGAGCUCACUGGAGGUGGUAUUCACACAUGUCGCCGCAGAAGUGAUCUUCAAAGUGUUUGGACUGAAGGCAGCUUCGGCUAUCUUCCAUCGUAUGAUCUCCCAUACCACCAUAUCGUUCGCCAACAUGACUGGCCCGGUUGAACAGGUGGAGUUUUGUGGGCAUCCAAUCGUCUUCAUCGCCCCUAGCGGCUAUGGACCGCCAGAAGCCCUAACCGUGAAUUAUCAAAGCUAUGUCAACACCAUCAUGAUAAAUCUAGCACUGGAUGAGGGACACUUUCCUGACUAUGAUGAACUUUUGGAUGACUUUGUUGAAUCCCUUGAGGAUAUUAAGGAUGCAGCUUCACGCCUUGGAAUGCAUCAUGGGAAGGCCUAAAGCUAUUUGCAUCAGUGCAACAUAUUCAUGAUUUCGCUACUGUGCCAUUCAAUAUUACUGAUGGACUAUACUCCCUUGGUCCAGAACUGUAAGGUGCAUAAUUAAUUAAUUAUGCUUGCAGUCAACGUUUUAGAACAUUGACCACCAGUACAUGUAAAAGUACAUGGAAUGAGUAUGCACGAAUAAUAUCAUUGUAUUUGUCUUGCGAAAUUCAUUUCUGCUACAUAUCUUUUCACAUUUUAACACACAUAUUACUAUAAAAAAUUAUAGUCAAAACUGUGCAUUCGAGACUCUGAAAAGUCACCUGUCUUGCAUUUCCAACGAAGGGAGUAUGUUUGUGGCAACUAAACCUAGA
Molecule: ribosomal RNA, 1907 nt
Filed under: Triticum aestivum (bread wheat)
Lineage: Eukaryota; Viridiplantae; Streptophyta; Magnoliopsida; Poales; Poaceae
Description: partial small subunit ribosomal RNA
Source: RNAcentral